GUGAACUUAUCCUUCGUCAUUCAUCCACCUGUAUAGAUAUCAAGGCACUCCAUCCUUUUGCAUAAAUCUCAAAACGCUCCAUCCUUUAUCAUUCAUCGAUAUGUAUAGAUAUCAAAGCACUCAAUUUGUCAUUCAUUCACCUACAUAAAUCUCAAAAUUAUCCUAUCCUCUAUCAUCCAUCUACUAUAUAGAUCUUAAAGCAUUCUAUCUUCUAUCCUUACUCUACCU
Molecule: long non-coding RNA, 228 nt
Filed under: Elaeis guineensis (African oil palm)
Lineage: Eukaryota; Viridiplantae; Streptophyta; Magnoliopsida; Arecales; Arecaceae
Description: long non-coding RNA (EGUI_LNC004844)
Source: RNAcentral